UACGAGGGGGGCGAGCGUUGUUCGGAAUUACUGGGCGUAAAGCGUACGUAGACGGUUGUGUAAGUCGGAUGUGAAAGCCCCGGGCUCAACCUGGGAAUUGCAUUCGAGACUGCGCAGCUAGGGUGCGGAAGAGGGAAGCGGAAUUCCCAGUGUAGCGGUGAAAUGCGUAGAUAUUGGGAGGAACACCAGUGGCGAAAGCGGCUUCCUGGUCCAGCACCGACGUUCAGGUACGAAAGCAUGGGGAGCAAACAGG
This 253-nucleotide ribosomal RNA is filed under the name uncultured bacterium. RNAcentral's name for it is "partial 16S ribosomal RNA". It matches the Rfam family "Bacterial small subunit ribosomal RNA", at positions 524 to 776 of the family's 1533-position model. The record is from RNAcentral.